UUAGUACUCCCUCCGUCCCAAAAUUCUUGUCUUAAAUUUGUCUAGGUUCAGAUGUAUCUAACACUAAAACGUAACUAGAUACAUCCGUAUUUAGAUAAAUCUAAGACAAGAAUUUUGGGAUGGAGGGAGUAAUAA
Non-coding RNA from Triticum urartu, 135 nucleotides. Lineage: Eukaryota; Viridiplantae; Streptophyta; Magnoliopsida; Poales; Poaceae. The record is from Rfam.